GCCUGGUUGGCCUAGUGGAAAAGGCGCUGCGGGGGCGGUUCUGAGCCAUCCCGGUUCUGAACCGUGUGGUGGCCUGCCUUUCGAGAGACCCUGGUUCGAAUCCAGGACCGGGCA
This 114-nucleotide transfer RNA is filed under the name Penicillium salamii. RNAcentral describes it as "tRNA-Pro". It matches the Rfam family "tRNA". From Rfam's summary of the family: Transfer RNA (tRNA) molecules are approximately 80 nucleotides in length. Their secondary structure includes four short double-helical elements and three loops (D, anti-codon, and T loops). The record is from RNAcentral. Lineage: Eukaryota; Fungi; Ascomycota; Eurotiomycetes; Eurotiales; Aspergillaceae.